GGGUUGUGAGGUUAAGCGACUAAGCGUACACGGUGGAUGCCUAGGCAGUCAGAGGCGAUGAAGGGCGUGCUAAUCUGCGAUAAGCGUCGGUAAGCUGAUAUGAA
Molecule: ribosomal RNA, 104 nt
Filed under: Pectobacterium atrosepticum
Lineage: Bacteria; Pseudomonadati; Pseudomonadota; Gammaproteobacteria; Enterobacterales; Pectobacteriaceae
Description: partial 23S ribosomal RNA
Rfam family: Bacterial large subunit ribosomal RNA
Source: RNAcentral